CUGUGGACUGAAAAGACAACAGAGAAGGAAAUUUCUGACGACGAAGACGAGGAAGAGAAGAAAGAUGCUGAGGAAGGAAAGGUUGAGGAUGUUGAUGAGAAGGAAGAGAAAGAAAAGAAGAAAAAGAAGAUCAAGGAGGUUUCUCAUGAGUGGUCAUUGGUCAACAAGCAGAAGCCCAUAUGGAUGAGGAAGCCAGAAGAAAUCACAAAAGAAGAAUAUGCUGCCUUCUAUAAGAGCUUGACAAAUGACUGGGAGGAGCAUCUGGCUGUGAAGCACUUCUCUGUGGAGGGUCAACUGGAGUUCAAGGCUGUUCUCUUUGUUCCUAAGAGGGCCCCCUUUGAUCUCUUUGACACCAAGAAGAAGCAAAACAACAUCAAGCUCUAUGUGCGCAGGGUGUUCAUCAUGGACAACUGCGAAGAGCUGAUCCCUGAGUGGCUGAGCUUCGUUAAGGGUAUUGUUGACUCUGAGGACCUUCCCCUCAAUAUCUCUCGUGAGACUCUUCAGCAGAACAAGAUCCUGAAGGUGAUCAGGAAGAACCUUGUGAAGAAGUGUGUUGAGCUCUUCUUUGAGAUUGCUGAGAACAAGGAGGACUACAACAAGUUUUACGAGGCUUUCUCCAAGAACCUCAAGCUUGGCAUCCACGAGGACUCGCAGAACAGGACCAAGAUCGCCGAGCUUCUGAGAUACCACUCCACCAAGAGUGGUGAUGAGCUGACCAGCCUCAAGGACUACGUGACCAGGAUGAAGGAGGGACAGAAUGACAUAUACUAUAUCACUGGUGAGAGCAAGAAGGCAGUGGAGAACUCCCCCUUCCUUGAGAAGCUGAAGAAGAGGGGCUAUGAGGUUCUGUACAUGGUUGAUGCCAUUGACGAGUAUGCUGUUGGUCAGCUCAAGGAGUUUGAGGGCAAGAAGCUUGUCUCUGCCACCAAGGAGGGUCUGAAGCUUGAUGAGACUGAGGACGAGAAGAAGAGGAAGGAGGAGCUGAAGGAGAAGUUUGAG
Molecule: long non-coding RNA, 999 nt
Filed under: Zea mays
Lineage: Eukaryota; Viridiplantae; Streptophyta; Magnoliopsida; Poales; Poaceae
Description: long non-coding RNA (ZMAY_LNC001213)
Source: RNAcentral